Molecule: ribosomal RNA, 466 nt
Filed under: uncultured bacterium
Lineage: Bacteria
Description: bacterial SSU rRNA
Rfam family: Bacterial small subunit ribosomal RNA
Source: RNAcentral
AUGAACGCUGGCGGCGUGCUUAACACAUGCAAGUCGAACGAUGAAGCCGGAGCUUGCUCUGGUGGAUUAGUGGCGAACGGGUGAGUAACACGUGAGUAACCUGCCCUUGACUCUGGGAUAAGCGUUGGAAACGACGUCUAAUACCGGAUACGACGCGCGAAGGCAUCUUCUGCGCGUGGAAAGAAUUUCGGUCAAGGAUGGACUCGCGGCCUAUCAGCUAGUUGGUGAGGUAACGGCCCACCAAGGCGACGACGGGUAGCCGGCCUGAGAGGGUGACCGGCCACACUGGGACUGAGACACGGCCCAGACUCCUACGGGAGGCAGCAGUGGGGAAUAUUGCACAAUGGGCGCAAGCCUGAUGCAGCAACGCCGCGUGAGGGACGACGGCCUUCGGGUUGUAAACCUCUUUUAGUAGGGAAGAAGCGAAAGUGACGGUACCUGCAGAAAAAGCACCGGCUAACUACGU